This 404-nucleotide ribosomal RNA is filed under the name uncultured bacterium. RNAcentral describes it as "bacterial SSU rRNA". It matches the Rfam family "Bacterial small subunit ribosomal RNA", at positions 356 to 776 of the family's 1533-position model. The record is from RNAcentral.
GGGGAAUCUUGCACAAUGGGCGCAAGCCUGAUGCAGCAACGCCGCGUGCGGGAAGACGGCCCUAGGGUUGUAAACCGCUUUCAGGAGGGAAGAAAAUGACGGUACCUCCAGAAGAAGGUGCGGCCAACUACGUGCCAGCAGCCGCGGUGACACGUAGGCACCAAGCGUUAUCCGGAUUUAUUGGGCGUAAAGAGCUCGUAGGCGGUUCGGUAAGUCGGGUGUGAAAAUCCAAGGCUCAACCUUGGGACGCCACCCGAUACUGCUGUGACUCGAGUGCAGUAGGGGAGCAGGGAAUUCCUGGUGUAGCGGUGAAAUGCGCAGAUAUCAGGAGGAACACCAGUGGCGAAGGCGCUGCUCUGGGCUGUAACUGACGCUGAGGAGCGAAAGCAUGGGUAGCAAACAGG